GCUUAUUUCUAGGAAACACCCUUACACAUGUACUUACAAACUUAACAGUAAAAUAAAUAUUCUGAAAAGGUUGGUCUGAGUCCAGGAUAAAACAAUAUUUUACUAAAUUUUAUAUCAGAAUUACUAAAGGUUGCUUUUGAUUUUUUUCACUAUAUCUAUAUGCACUAUCUAUUCUAGAAUUACAGAUACUGUUGUAAGGGAACUCAAUCAUGAGAAACAAAGAAGCCACCACUUACAAGGCUGAACUGGGAGGCUCCAAUGUAGCUAGCACAAAGCUUUAUAUAGGCCCAAACCACAUGAAGUGUGAGGAAUUUAUAAUAACAAAAGUGUUACAUAUGCAAAGAAAACCAAAGGAGGACACUUAAACAUAACAAAGGUGUAAAAUAUAAGCAAAAUAAAUCAGAUGAGGACACACAUAUAAUCCAAAGAAGACCUGUGUGGAAAGCCCCCUCUACCCAGCAAGGCACCAAGUUGGCUCUAAGAACAAGGCAUAUUGCUUCGGGUAUAUUGUUUAGACCUACCUAGUCGCCUUACUUCUACACAAAACAUUAUAUAUUUUGUGAUGAAUGAUCACUCAAGAGUAUGGUAACACAGUAUAAUAAUUUGAAAAAUAAUGGGAAAAGCCAUCAGAAAAUGCAAGGAAAGAAACAAAAGAUUCACUAUCUAAGUAGUAUAAUAUUAUGUAGUUAAACACACACACACGAAGAUAGGCUACUGUUGGUUAUCAAUGAGAAUAGUCCCUCAUUUUAAGAACUAAAAUACAAGCACAGUUAAUGCAUAAUCUUUAAUAACAGUUUGUUGAGAUAGAGACAAAUAUAAUUUACCAGCUCAGCCACUUUCCCAGUUCUGUGACCUUGCUGUUCCCCAGUU
Molecule: long non-coding RNA, 870 nt
Organism: Perognathus longimembris pacificus (Pacific pocket mouse)
Lineage: Eukaryota; Metazoa; Chordata; Mammalia; Rodentia; Heteromyidae
Exons: 3
Source: RefSeq, a predicted model, not a curated record